Pelobates cultripes (western spadefoot toad) is the source of this 445-nucleotide non-coding RNA. Lineage: Eukaryota; Metazoa; Chordata; Amphibia; Anura; Pelobatidae. The record is from the annotation of a GenBank genome assembly.
UUAAUAAAUGAACCCCAUAAAAUACACACAUAUGAACAAACAAGCAAGAAAAAAAGUAAACAAAUUUAUAAAUAAUCGUAUUCUGCACCAAUAAAUAUCCCCACCACCCACCCUUCAAAAAUAUGUAUGAUUGCGAUGCUGUUGGUGUAAUGCAGAGCAGUUUAAUGUGAUAAAACAAUAUUAGAGUGGGGGGCUGCCUGGCUGAUGUGUCCCCAUUCGAUGUAGGAGGCGUUAGUAAAAGAUAGAUGAUCUGAACACCAGGAGGAGUACAGCCCAGCUCCCUGCAGUUGCUUGAAAACACAGUCUUUCUAUUUUCUUUACAGCCACAUUGUUCUCGAGUCUUCUAGAACACUGUGUACUAUCAGAGUUCAGGGCUAAGAAUGUUAUUGACCGCAAGGAGGAUCCUUCCACAGCCCGGCCCAUUCAUUUCCUCCUCAGACUGUAC